UGUGUGCCAUACAUAACUGUGUAUAUUACAUUCGUGUAGAUGGGUUGUGCAGCAGUCUUGUUCACAUCGGCAUUGCCACAGAUACAUGAGUCACACAGCAUGGCAUUAUGAUGCUUAUGAUGUCACUAGGCAAUAGGAUUUGUGCAGCCACCAUCAUGUCAUGUCUGCAGUCUGUUGCUGACUAAAGCAUCUUUACAGGAUUCAUUACUAUAGUGAAGGAAAACAUUUCUCUGCACAGAACAGACUGAGACCUAGCCCAGUGGACCCGCUCCAUGUUCUCUGGAUACAUCGGCCGCCUCCCAGAUCCAGCAGAAAGAAGAGAACCUGUCUCCCGCUUUGCACAUUCCAGGUCACCCCUCUAGGCUCAGCCCACACAUCUCGCUGUUGAUCACGAAGACGCAGUGGAAGGCAGCCUUUCAGAGGCAGAGAAGGCCAUGUGUUUUCUGAGUUCUGAUGUCAUCAUGAGGCUGCGCGGUGCUGGUUCACCAAAAAGAUGAGUGGAUGAAGUAUUUAAUAUUCUUCCGUAUAUCUUUCUGUAUCUUUUUCUUUUUUUUUAUACUCACAACCGACCACAGAAGUGAGCCCCCAUUAACAUCACAGAAAGUGAAUCUAGCAUUGAAUAUGUUCCAGUCAAAUCAACUGACUUCUGCUUCUUGGAGAGGCUCUGGACUUUCCUGCCCCUUUACCUUUCCCCGUUCUAUAAGUUCUCUACCUAAAUGCUUUUUUCCCUCUUCUCACUUUAACACCAAACCAAAUGGAAGGCCUGCUCGAUGCUAUCUACCCCAUGAGGACCAUGUGCAACUUCUGGGCCUGGAAGUCUUCAGAGAACCUGUUUGGUGCUUGUGCUGCAUUUUUCUCAGACAUCCACUCAGAUAUCUCUCUUCCUCUAGAGCUGGAAGUUCUGAGUGCUGGGUUUUAUUUCUGUGCUCCCUGGGCUUCCUAGCACAGUGCCUCACACAAAGUAAUGCACACAACAUAGGAUUACUGCCUCAGAAGUUGCUUGUAUGAUGCAGAAUUUCUCCUUCUGGAGCUAGAAGGAGGAGGAAAUGAGGAGGAGGCUCAUGCCUGAGUCUGUAUUGUGGGAGAUAUGUUUUGCCAAUGGGUAGGGAAGGGGCCCACGUCUCCCUGUUGCUCUAGUGGCGCUGUUGUCCAGUAGCCUGGAGUAUGCUUCCUGCCGAACUGGAUCCAUUGAAGGAGGAGCACUCCAUGGACCCACAUGGUCCAAGUCUUCAGAUGGCGAGAGGCCCAGGGAGCAUCCUCAGGGGCGA
This 1268-nucleotide long non-coding RNA is filed under the name Fukomys damarensis (Damara mole-rat). RNAcentral's name for it is "lncRNA (ENSFDAG00000027127.1)". The record is from RNAcentral. Lineage: Eukaryota; Metazoa; Chordata; Mammalia; Rodentia; Bathyergidae.